UUUUGCAGACAAAAUUUGGUAUUUCGGGUUACCUGCUCGAAAGGGACAUAUAUCCGGUCUCUCUGUGCAGAUCUUGGAAAGGCUCUUGGGAGUUGCGCUCAUUUAACUGCUCUCCGAAGAGACUCAAUUGGAGAAUAUUCAGCAGAUGACGCUUGGGAUUUUCCAGAACUUGAACAAGAAAUAACCAAAUCCUAUUUCUAAGAAUACAACAAUUAUUUAUUUUUAUAUCAGUUUUUGCAUUUAUUUUAUUUUAAUGAUGGUAGCCGUAUUCACUUAGAUUUCAGGUGCAAAGAUUUAUCUUGUUCCACCAACCUGAGGAUUAUAUUGGAGGUCUAUGUAUGCCAUUAAGAACCGUUUGUAUAUGCUUUUGCAGAAAGAAAAUCGAAAAUAUCAACUCAAAAAUCAAUAAAAUACUGAUUAGGAACUCGAUCUAUAAA
Molecule: long non-coding RNA, 437 nt
Organism: Papaver somniferum (opium poppy)
Lineage: Eukaryota; Viridiplantae; Streptophyta; Magnoliopsida; Ranunculales; Papaveraceae
Exons: 3
Source: RefSeq, a predicted model, not a curated record